GAGGGUAUCACUCAGGGGUAGAGUGCAUGCUUAACAUGCAUGAGGUCCUGGGUUCAAUCCCUAGUACCUCCA
Molecule: transfer RNA, 72 nt
Filed under: Camelus bactrianus (Bactrian camel)
Lineage: Eukaryota; Metazoa; Chordata; Mammalia; Artiodactyla; Camelidae
Also listed under: 2 other names
Rfam family: tRNA
About the family: Transfer RNA (tRNA) molecules are approximately 80 nucleotides in length. Their secondary structure includes four short double-helical elements and three loops (D, anti-codon, and T loops).
Source: Rfam by way of RNAcentral